This 1360-nucleotide ribosomal RNA is filed under the name Chryseobacterium sp. GLY-4205. RNAcentral describes it as "bacterial SSU rRNA". It matches the Rfam family "Bacterial small subunit ribosomal RNA", at positions 67 to 1435 of the family's 1533-position model. The record is from RNAcentral. Lineage: Bacteria; Pseudomonadati; Bacteroidota; Flavobacteriia; Flavobacteriales; Weeksellaceae.
CGGUAUUUGUCCUUCGGGACAGAGAGAGCGGCGUACGGGUGCGGAACACGUGUGCAACCUACCUUUAUCAGGGGGAUAGCCUUUCGAAAGGAAGAUUAAUACCCCAUAAUAUAAUUCAAGGCAUCUUGAUUUAUUGAAAACUCCGGUGGAUAGAGAUGGGCACGCGCAAGAUUAGAUAGUUGGUAGGGUAACGGCCUACCAAGUCAAUGAUCUUUAGGGGGCCUGAGAGGGUGAUCCCCCACACUGGUACUGAGACACGGACCAGACUCCUACGGGAGGCAGCAGUGAGGAAUAUUGGACAAUGGGUGAGAGCCUGAUCCAGCCAUCCCGCGUGAAGGACGACGGCCCUAUGGGUUGUAAACUUCUUUUGUAUAGGGAUAAACCUACUCUCGUGAGAGUAGCUGAAGGUACUAUACGAAUAAGCACCGGCUAACUCCGUGCCAGCAGCCGCGGUAAUACGGAGGGUGCAAGCGUUAUCCGGAUUUAUUGGGUUUAAAGGGUCCGUAGGCGGGCUUGUAAGUCAGUGGUGAAAUCUCAUAGCUUAACUAUGAAACUGCCAUUGAUACUGCAGGUCUUGAGUAAAGUAGAAGUGGCUGGAAUAAGUAGUGUAGCGGUGAAAUGCAUAGAUAUUACUUAGAACACCAAUUGCGAAGGCAGGUCACUAUGUUUUAACUGACGCUGAUGGACGAAAGCGUGGGGAGCGAACAGGAUUAGAUACCCUGGUAGUCCACGCCGUAAACGAUGCUAACUCGUUUUUGGGCUUUCGGGUUCAGAGACUAAGCGAAAGUGAUAAGUUAGCCACCUGGGGAGUACGUUCGCAAGAAUGAAACUCAAAGGAAUUGACGGGGGCCCGCACAAGCGGUGGAUUAUGUGGUUUAAUUCGAUGAUACGCGAGGAACCUUACCAAGGCUUAAAUGGGAAUUGACAGGUUUAGAAAUAGACUUUUCUUCGGACAAUUUUCAAGGUGCUGCAUGGUUGUCGUCAGCUCGUGCCGUGAGGUGUUAGGUUAAGUCCUGCAACGAGCGCAACCCCUGUCACUAGUUGCCAUCAUUCAGUUGGGGACUCUAGUGAGACUGCCUACGCAAGUAGAGAGGAAGGUGGGGAUGACGUCAAAUCAUCACGGCCCUUACGCCUUGGGCCACACACGUAAUACAAUGGCCGGUACAGAGGGCAGCUACCAGGCGAUAGGAUGCGAAUCUCGAAAGCCGGUCUCAGUUCGGAUUGGAGUCUGCAACUCGACUCUAUGAAGCUGGAAUCGCUAGUAAUCGCAUAUCAGCCAUGAUGCGGUGAAUACGUUCCCGGGCCUUGUACACACCGCCCGUCAAGCCAUGGAAGUUUGGGGUACCUGAAGUCGGUGACC